GAUCAUGGCUCAGAUUGAACGCUGGCGGCAUGCCUUACACAUGCAAGUCGAGGGGUAGAGUUCUUCGGGACUUGAGACCGGCGCACGGGUGCGUAACGCGUAUGCAAUCUACCUUAUACAGGGGAAUAGCCCAGAGAAAUUUGGAUUAAUGCCCCAUAGUGUUAUCGAAUCGCAUGGUUUGAUAACUAAAGUUCCAACGGUAUAAGAUGAGCAUGCGUCCCAUUAGUUAGUUGGUAAGGUAACGGCUUACCAAGACAAUGAUGGGUAGGGGUCCUGAGAGGGAGAUCCCCCACACUGGUACUGAGACACGGACCAGACUCCUACGGGAGGCAGCAGUGAGGAAUAUUGGUCAAUGGGCGCAAGCCUGAACCAGCCAUGCCGCGUGCAGGAAGACGGUCCUAUGGAUUGUAAACUGCUUUUAUACAGGAAGAAACCCUCCCACGUGUGGGAGCUUGACGGUACUGUAGGAAUAAGGAUCGGCUAACUCCGUG
RNAcentral lists this ribosomal RNA (491 nucleotides) under uncultured bacterium. RNAcentral's name for it is "bacterial SSU rRNA". It matches the Rfam family "Bacterial small subunit ribosomal RNA", at positions 15 to 507 of the family's 1533-position model. The record is from RNAcentral.